GUGGGGAAUAUUGGACAAUGGGCGAAAGCCUGAUCCAGCAAUGCCGCGUGAGUGAUGAAGGCCCUAGGGUUGUAAAGCUCUUUUACCAGGGAUGAUAAUGACAGUACCUGGAGAAUAAGCUCCGGCUAACUCCGUGCCAGCAGCCGCGGUCAUACGGAGGGAGCUAGCGUGGUUCGGAAUUACUGGGCGUAAAGCGCGCGUAGGCGGUUUUUUAAGUCAGAGGUGAAAGCCCGGGGCUCAACCCCGGAAUUGCCUUUGAAACUGGAAAACUUGAAUCGUGGAGAGGUCAGUGGAAUUCCGAGUGUAGAGGUGAAAGUCGUAGAUAUUCGGAAGAACACCAGUGGCGAAGGCGACUGACUGGACAAGUAUUGACGCUGAGGUGCGAAAGCGUGGGGAGCAAACAGGAUUAGAAACCCCAGUAGUCC
Molecule: ribosomal RNA, 425 nt
Filed under: uncultured bacterium
Lineage: Bacteria
Description: partial 16S ribosomal RNA
Rfam family: Bacterial small subunit ribosomal RNA
Source: RNAcentral